ACAGAAUGACUUCUUCUGCAGUUCCUCUCUGACUUCCAUCACUUUCUCCCUUUCUCUCUGCCUGUCCAGUAUCUCCCUUACCAAUGCUGAGCUUGGACUGA
Molecule: long non-coding RNA, 101 nt
Organism: Notothenia coriiceps (black rockcod)
Lineage: Eukaryota; Metazoa; Chordata; Actinopteri; Perciformes; Nototheniidae
Exons: 3
Source: RefSeq, a predicted model, not a curated record